RNAcentral lists this ribosomal RNA (494 nucleotides) under uncultured bacterium. RNAcentral describes it as "partial 16S ribosomal RNA". It matches the Rfam family "Bacterial small subunit ribosomal RNA", at positions 28 to 507 of the family's 1533-position model. The record is from RNAcentral.
GACGAACGCUGGCGGCGUGCUUAACACAUGCAAGUCGAACGGAAAGGCCAGCUUUCCCUUGUGGAUUGCGGGUACUCGAGUGGCGAACGGGUGAGUAACACGUGAGUGAUCUGCCCCCAACUUGGGUAUAAGCCUGGGAAACUGGGUCUAAUUCCCGAUAGGACUGCAGGGUGGUGCCUGUGGUGGAAAACGAUUUUCUAGUGGUUGGGGAUGAGCUCGCGGCCUAUCAGCUUGUUGGUGGGGUAAUGGCCUACCAAGGCGGCGACGGGUAGCCGGCCUGAGAGGGUGGACGGCCACAUUGGGACUGAGAUACGGCCCAGACUCCUACGGGAGGCAGCAGUGGGGAAUAUUACACAAUGGGCGGAAGCCUGAUGCAGCGACGCCGCGUGGGGGAUGACGGCCUUCGGGUUGUAAACUCCUUUCGACCGCGAGGAAGCCACCUGGUUGGAAGGGUGGUGACGGUAGUGGUAGAAGAAGCACCGGCUAACUACGUG